RNAcentral lists this ribosomal RNA (483 nucleotides) under uncultured bacterium. Its description in RNAcentral is "bacterial SSU rRNA". It matches the Rfam family "Bacterial small subunit ribosomal RNA", at positions 27 to 507 of the family's 1533-position model. The record is from RNAcentral.
GAUUGAACGCUGGCGGCAUGCUUUACGCAUGCAAGUCGAACGGUAACAGGCCGCAAGGUGCUGACGAGUGGCGAACGGGUGAGUAAUGCAUCGGAACGUGCCCAGUCGUGGGGGAUAACGCAGCGAAAGCUGUGCUAAUACCGCAUACGAUCUACGGAUGAAAGCAGGGGACCGCAAGGCCUUGCGCGGACGGAGCGGCCGAUGGCAGAUUAGGUAGUUGGUGGGAUAAAAGCUUACCAAGCCGACGAUCUGUAGCUGGUCUGAGAGGACGACCAGCCACACUGGAACUGAGACACGGUCCAGACUCCUACGGGAGGCAGCAGUGGGGAAUUUUGGACAAUGGGCGCAAGCCUGAUCCAGCCAUUCCGCGUGCAGGAUGAAGGCCUUCGGGUUGUAAACUGCUUUUGUACGGAACGAAACGGCGAGCUCUAAUACAGUUUGCUAAUGACGGUACCGUAAGAAUAAGCACCGGCUAACUACGUG